GGAGGGUAUUUCCUAUUACGUUAAGCAGGCAAAUUCAAGCAUAUUCUAUUUGACUUUGGAAGGGGGGUUCGGCUGGAUCAAACAUGAAAUAAAAAGAGUCAUGACUUUUCUUACUGCUACGUGCUUUCCUUAAUUCCCCCUUCCGCAGUAACUGAAAUUUAUUUGCUCGUAUUCAGAAAAAUAAUAAUUCCAAAUAGUAAUAAAGACAAUAAACAAUCACCUUCAUCUGCCCCUUAAUCCACGAGACCCCUGAUUUAAGGUUGACACGACCUUUAAACUUCAUAACAUUUCUAAAUAUAUUCGGUAUCAAAGUGAGUAAACGGUCAUAUCAGCGUAUACUUUCUCACGAGACACUCAAGCGUUGUUCAAACUGUACAACAAUCAACAAGAAUGGGUGGCAGCUGUGCAAAAGAAGUACACGAAGGCAUCAUCUUCUCUGGUCUGUGGCCUGUGCCGCAUUCUCAUCUAAACGAACCCGUACAGCAUGAUCCUUACAUAAGAUCAAAGCCGAACAACACCUGCUUGAGAAAAGGCGGACAGCGCAGGUUCGCGGUGGUUUACGAAGCCUUCAGAGGGCCGGUACAAAUCACGGUCACGAUGAAAGAUUCCACGGGUAAAAUGCAUCAACUACUCUCUACCGAAACAUCCGUCCAAUGUGCCGAGCUCCCCUUUGAAAUUCUUGAUGUGAAAACAAUCCAUGCUGGUACCUACACCGUCAAGAUCAAGGAUACAGGGCUUAAUGACAGAUUCGGUGGGAACCCAGUACAAGCAUCCUGGAAAGUGACCGUGCGUAACACCUGCCAUUGAGUGGCCUAAUGCCAUGAAUUACAGGUGUGUCCCAACUACAUUUAAAUCUCCAAGAUGUCAAGGCUGUAAAAAGGCUUUGGGAAUGGUCAUAGUUAUCCAACCGAAUGAUAUACUCUUCUUUUCCUACUGGAACUUUGAUUAGAUACAUAUAUGCAAUUUAAAAGUAUACACGGAUGAAUAAAACAAGUUCAGCACUUCAAACCGUUAAAUACAAGUGUCGAUAAAACACGAGUAAAUUUCACAAAGAUCGUAAUAGAAUGAUCCAAUUGUUGAACAAAUUACAUGUAGCGAGUGAGCUCCCACAUCAGCAAUUUAGGUAUUAAACAAAACAAGUUUGCUCGAGAAAAAACCGCACUUUUCGUCACACCGGGCGGAAGAUAUUCAUUUAAAUCGAACUAUAAAACAUAGAUAUAACACUUGAAAUUCGAGCUUCAUCCAUACGGUGGAUUUUCAUUAACCUCAAAAAGGCUAAAAUGAAUUCUGAACGCUACAGAACUAUGAACUAAUAUAGCUGACUGACUUUAGGGGGUAUGAUAUUUAGAUAAAAACUUUGUACCGGAGCUCAAUUUAGUUGCAUGAAUCUGUCUUUGAUAUUUCUGUCUUUGUUAUGUGAUUCUGUUUCAAUAAAGGGUCAAGCACCUCCAUACAAUGCA
Molecule: long non-coding RNA, 1460 nt
Organism: Acanthaster planci (crown-of-thorns starfish)
Lineage: Eukaryota; Metazoa; Echinodermata; Asteroidea; Valvatida; Acanthasteridae
Source: RefSeq, a predicted model, not a curated record